GACGUAGGGCGCGAGCGUUGUCCGGAUUUAUUGGGCGUAAAGAGCUCGUAGGCGGCUUGUCGCGUCGUCCGUGAAAACCUGCAGCUCAACUGCAGGCUUGCGGGCGAUACGGGCAGGCUAGAGUUCGGUAGGGGAGACUGGAAUUCCUGGUGUAGCGGUGAAAUGCGCAGAUAUCAGGAGGAACACCGGUGGCGAAGGCGGAUCUCUGGGCCGAUACUGACGCUGAGGAGCGAAAGCGUGGGGAGCGAACAGG
Molecule: ribosomal RNA, 253 nt
Filed under: uncultured bacterium
Lineage: Bacteria
Description: partial 16S ribosomal RNA
Rfam family: Bacterial small subunit ribosomal RNA
Source: RNAcentral